GAGCUGACAGAAGUUGCCCAUUACAUUGGAGCUGGUGACCAAUGAGGUUCGUAUGAUUGUAGGACAAGUUUGCCCUCAGGAGAGGCUUGCCAAUCUUCUCUGACAUUUGGUUGGGGAUGGCAGAGAAACAUCAGUGUUCCAGGUAUUUGGCCCUCUUGUGUCCUAGUCCACUAGGUGGCUGAUCCUGGAGAUGGCUGAUCCUGGAGGUGGCUGAUCCUAGGGCGGACAGUAUGGCCUUCCUCCUCCAGAAGUUCCAACUUGCAGACUCAAGCCCCUUUCCCAUCCCUUUCAGUUGUCACUGCACUCAGUAGAAGAUUUGUGCAACCAUUGGGUAUAAGCGCAAGUGUCACCAGAGAAACACUUUCUGAUUAAAUGGAGCCAUCUUGCUGUAGCAGCAUCUGAAUAUCAGAGGGAUACUGAGGGGGUGCAGUAAUACUCCUAAAUUCCCUUGAAUUUUAGCCCUUUUCUGUGAAAGCCAUAAGACAACAGUUAAGGAUACUGAUGCUGCUGCUAUGGCUCUGUGUCUGUGAUGGGAAAUACUGGUUGCCAAGCAGCAGGGAAUGGACAUAAUCGUGCUGCCUAGCAACAGCAGCGGCGUGGUCACUCACGUAGAUUUCUGCGCCUCUUCCUGUUUGGUCUGUAGGAAAAUGCAGAUGGCUUCUGUGGGCCACUGUCACCCUGGCCACAGUGAGGUACAGGAAAAUAUUAUGAGCCAGGGUAGGUCUGAGAGUUGGGAACUCUGGACUGUUCCUAAAGAGUUAAUAACCAAGGCUUGUGCCGUCCAGGUCCAGGAUGCCGUGUGGGUCAGUGUGUCUUGCCAAAGGUGGCAUCAGCCAGUGGAAUCAGUUGGGCUCUCCGUCUGGCAGAUCUGUCUCCCUCAGCUGCUCCUCCUCCAGUUUCCAGUCUUGGAGUUCAUAUACAGUAAAUCUUUCUCUUAA
This 938-nucleotide long non-coding RNA is filed under the name Chinchilla lanigera (long-tailed chinchilla). RNAcentral describes it as "lncRNA (ENSCLAG00000023676.1)". Lineage: Eukaryota; Metazoa; Chordata; Mammalia; Rodentia; Chinchillidae. The record is from RNAcentral.